RNAcentral lists this ribosomal RNA (459 nucleotides) under uncultured bacterium. RNAcentral's name for it is "partial 16S ribosomal RNA". It matches the Rfam family "Bacterial small subunit ribosomal RNA", at positions 338 to 795 of the family's 1533-position model. The record is from RNAcentral.
CCUACGGGAGGCAGCAGUGAGGAAUAUUGGUCAAUGGACGCAAGUCUGAACCAGCCAUGCCGCGUGCAGGAAGACGGCUCUAUGAGUUGUAAACUGCUUUUGUACGAGGGUAAACGCAGAUACGCGUAUCUGUCUGAAAGUAUCGUACGAAUAAGGAUCGGCUAACUCCGUGCCAGCAGCCGCGGUAAUACGGAGGAUUCAAGCGUUAUCCGGAUUUAUUGGGUUUAAAGGGUGCGUAGGCGGACUGUUAAGUCAGAGGGAAAAGCCCGGGGCUCAACCCCGGCGAGCCGUUGAAACGUGCUGUCGUGAGAUGGCGAGAGGUAUGCGGAAUGCGCAGUGUAGCGGUGAAAUGCUUAGAUAUUGCGCAGAACUCCGAUUGCGAAGGCAGCAUACCGGCGGCGAUCUGACGCUGAGGCACGAAAGCGUGGGUAUCGAACAGGAUUAGAUACCCGGGUAGUC